RNAcentral lists this long non-coding RNA (258 nucleotides) under Mytilus galloprovincialis (Mediterranean mussel). Lineage: Eukaryota; Metazoa; Mollusca; Bivalvia; Mytilida; Mytilidae. The record is from RNAcentral.
GUUGUUAUGUUAAAAUAGAUAAUUAUUCACCUUGAGCGAUGUAUUAUUGUUGACCAUUCGAGAUUCUUGUUUGCAAACCCGUCUUCAGCGUAAUGUGUGAUUUUGAUAUUACUACGCGGGCCUCAAGGGGUUACAAAUCGAAAAUAAAUGCUAAAUAUGUUAGUUUUUGUGUCUUUCAAAACACAAACAAUAUACAGAAUUAAUUGCAAGAUAAAGACAAUAACUGUUUAGUGUCUUUAAAUAUCAGCUGUAUUUGUA